CGGGGAGUGGCGCAGCUUGGCUAGCGCGCAGCGUUCGGGACGCUGAGGCCGAGGGUUCAAAUCCCUCCUCCCCGACCA
This 78-nucleotide transfer RNA is filed under the name Candidatus Segetimicrobium genomatis. RNAcentral describes it as "Terrabacteria group bacterium ANGP1 tRNA-Pro". It matches the Rfam family "tRNA". From Rfam's summary of the family: Transfer RNA (tRNA) molecules are approximately 80 nucleotides in length. Lineage: Bacteria; Bacillati; Candidatus Sysuimicrobiota; Candidatus Sysuimicrobiia; Candidatus Sysuimicrobiales; Candidatus Segetimicrobiaceae. The record is from RNAcentral.